RNAcentral lists this ribosomal RNA (1360 nucleotides) under Fenusa (Kaliofenusa) sp. 1 GYN-2022b. RNAcentral describes it as "16S ribosomal RNA". The record is from RNAcentral. Lineage: Eukaryota; Metazoa; Arthropoda; Insecta; Hymenoptera; Tenthredinidae.
AAUUUAAUGAUUAUUAUUUAUUAUUAUUGUUAUAUUUUUAUAUUUUAAUAAAAUUAAUUUUAAUUUAUUUUAGUUAUAGUAUAUUUUAUAGAAAUAAUUUUUUAUAAUUAUAGAUAAUUAGUAUUGUAAAAGAAUUUUGAAAAAACUUUAAUAAUUUAAUUUUGAAUAAGUAAAUUUUGUUUAUUGUACCUUGUGUAUCAGGGUUUAUUAAUUAAAAAUUAUUUAAUUUAUUUUUCUCGAAUUUAAAAGAUUUAUUUUAAUAUAAUUUUUAUUGUAAAAUAACUAUUUUAAAUAUUAAGAUAGAAAUGAAAUGUUAAACGUUUUUAAAUAUAUCUAGUUUUUUAAUAAAUGAAUUUAAUUCAGAUGUUAUAUAAUAAUUUGUAUAAUUUUAAUUAAUUAAUUAAUUGUAACAUUAAUAUUUUAUGGGAUAAGCUUUAAAAUAAAAAUUUAAAAUAAAAAUCUAAAAUUUUAUUUAUAUAUGCUUAGAGAUAGUUUUUAUUUUAAAAAUGUUAUAAUUUAAAUAGUUGAAUAAUAUUAAUUUUUUUUAUAUUUAAAAUUUUAUUAAAAUAAAUUAUUUAAUAAAUAUUAUAAUUGUAAUAAUGAUAAAAUUAGUAAAUUAUUUUAAUUAUGUUGUUUUAAUUAAUAAUAUGAAAGGUUAAAAUAUAGGAAUUCGGCAAAAAUUUAUACUCACCUGUUUAACAAAAACAUGUCUUUUUGAAUUUAUAAUUUAAAGUCUAAUCUGCUCUAUGAAUUAAAAUUUAAAUGGCCGCAGUAUUUUGACUGUGCAAAGGUAGCAUAAUAAUUAGUCUUUUAAUUAAAGGCUGGAAUGAAUGAUUUGAUGAAGUAUAAACUUUCUUUAUUUAAUUAAUAAUUUAAAUUAAUUUUUAAGUUAAAAAGCUUAAAUAUAUUUAAAGGACGAGAAGACCCUAUAGAAUUUUAUAAAUAUAAUUUUAUAAGUUUUUAAUUUUGAUUUGUAAAAUUAAAUUUAUUUUGUUGGGGUGACAAAAAAAUUUAAUAAACUUUUUUUAAAAUUAAGUUUAACAUUAAUUUAUGAAUAUUUGAUCCUUUUAAAAAGAUUUAAAGUUUAAAUUACCUUAGGGAUAACAGCGUUAUUUUUUUUAGAGUUCUUAUCUAUAAUAAAGAUUGCGACCUCGAUGUUGGAUUAAAAUUAAGUUUAGGUGAAGAAGCUUAAAUUUUAGGUCUGUUCGACCUUUAAAAUUUUACAUGAUCUGAGUUCAAACCGGUGUAAGCCAGGUUGGUUUCUAUCCUUAAAAUCUUAUAAAUUUUUAGUACGAAAGGACCAAAGUUUGGAAUAAUAUUUAAUUUAAAAGAAAAUUAAUAAAUUUAUUUAUAAAAUAAA